AGCCCACCCUUGGAGAACCACUGGGCUAUAGAAUGAUGUCAAGGGCUGGAGAGGGAGGCUACAGAGUGGGUCUAGGUCCAGGUACAGUCUCAGAACCACACUGCAAAACUGGCUUAGUCAGGUAGCUGCUGUAUCUGCUGCUUCCACUGUGAACUCAAAAACCACAUUGCCUGUGCUGCAGGCCGGAAAGCUGCUGAACCAGGAAGCUGUGCUGAUGCUGCUGACUGCCCCUGAGGUUAGAGAUUGACUAGACAUAGUGCCACUGUCAUCCCUGCUGGAGAAGGUCCGAAGCACCUCCACCUCUGUGCUUCCAGAGGGGCACUGUGGUGGCCACUUAAAAUGCUCAGGCUAUACCAUGCACUAGAGCAUCUACCUGGGCAAGGGAUAUGCUGUAUGACACUCUCCUGAUGCUGGGCAUGGCUGUGAGCCAAAGCACCCAGGCAGCCCUGCCAUCAGAAGGGUAAACCACGGACACCUGAUGCCUUCCUGAAGGAAGAGCACUACGCCUGCCAAACCAUCAAGCGUUGAUGCUCCAGCGCCUUCUACCCGUGGUUCUCCAGCCUCAGCAGAAGAGAGAGAAAUUGAUGACCCUGUCGUUGUAGCAUCCCCAUCACCCAGCAAUUAAUUUUAGUUCAAUGCUUCAAACGCUCUUCAGGCGCAGUGUGCGUUCAGCUGUGUCAGCUAAUGCAAAUGGGGGAUCUCAGAAGUCUUAAUGAAGUAACUAUCCCUGAACACUGGGAUCAAUACUCAGCAUCCAGCUGUCAAAUCAACACCAAGCGUUUCACUCGUCGCCCAGCCUAGAGUGCAAUGGCGCUAUUUCGGCUCAUUAUAACCUCCGCCUCCCGGGUUCAAGCAAUUCUUCUGCUUCAGCGUCCCAAGUAGCUGGGAUUACAGGCCUUCAGUUGCAAAGUUCUCCAUUGUCAGAUUACGCUGCCUGAUGGGCAUGAAAAGUCCACAAAAGAGAAUUUUCUGAUGUGAGAAUGGAGGGUGUUGCCUGCAACUACCCCAGAUCCCUGCGGUGGCAGUUUAAGCCGCCUCCUGGAGCAGAUUGUUAAGCUGAUGCGAGUCUGGGCUCUGCCUCACCACUUGUCUCAGAGGAAUCUCGGCCAAGAAGACAGGGACAAGCUCCCAACUCUGACUACCCCUUUUACAGGGAAAAAAAAAAAAUCCCGUGCCUUCUUUGCAGCAAGUGACAAAUCCUUGUCAUAUCGAGAUGGCUUUUCCUCCUCCUCUUCAAACAUCUUUUAGCAGCAACAGCAGCUCAAGUAACUGGAAUUAUUUCAGAGUUAAAAUGCAGGCUUUGUAGACCCUCUUAGACAGACAGAUUCAAUUUCAAAGGAAACUUCUUUGGCUGGGUACUCAGUGAGUGUUACACAGGGAUUUGGGGAGUUAAUAUUCACUGUUUCUGUUGUUGGAGAAAAGGAAAGCAGAGUUGCUCUUUCUCAUUACUCUCCCCAACGCACAUCUGUUUCCUCUCGUAUCUUGGAAUUAGGAAGAUGGAGGAGACUUAAGUGGUGACCCACCUAGCCUCCUGAUGCAUGCUGGGCUCACUUUAAAACUCCCAAAACAGAUGGCAGUUGAUCACGGUUUUAAAGAUCCCAGCAUAGACUUUCUGCAGCCUCCCUUGUUAGCCACUAUCAGCGCUUAACAUUCUGUCAUCUGAAUAACUCCUUAAAAAUGAUAGCAAUGGUAGUAGAAAUUUAAAAGGAACCUCCCAAAAAACAUGCAAAAGCUUACCACCCCAGUAAAUCACCCGCAACAAUGUCGCAACAGUUUAAAUUUACUGCAGAGAGAGCUGAAGUUUAGGAGACACAGCUUUAUAAUAUUUUUGAGAGAUAGUUGAGUGCAAAUGAGUCCUGUUCCUCUUGCAUCAGGGCCUGCUCCACUGAGUCAUCCUGCCUUCAGAAGCUUCCAGCUAAGUGGCAGGCCCCGGCCAUAGGCUCCCUGUGUCCCCAGCCUCCAGAGAACACACAAUGUUCUCAUCGCCCUUAGCUCCAUUCCAGAAGGGGCCUGCAGUUCUGCAGCUUAUCAGGGGUCUACUGGGAAGUGAGAUGUCACUGUCCCUUUCUGGCCCUGCAUUGUCUGUGAGUGGCUCUCCUGGAUUAAGAGUUGGCAAAGUAUGGCCAGUGGCCAGGACUGGCCUGCUGCCUGUUUUUGUUUAACCCGUGAGCUAAGAAUAGUUUUUACCUAUUUUAAGUAGUUGAAAAAAAAAUCAAGAGAAGAAUACUAUUUCGUGAUAUGUGAAAAAUCACAUGAAAUUCAAAUGUAAGUGUCCAUAAAUAAAGUCUUACUGGAAGACAGCCUUGCUCAUUUAUUUCUGUCUCAUUCGCUACUGUCUGCGGCUGCCUUCACGCUACAAUGGCAGUACUGAGUAGUUGUGACGGGCACUGUAUGACAGCAAAUCCUAAAGUAUUUGCCAUCUGGCCCUUCACAGAAAAAGUUUGCUGACCCUGGCUUUCGAGCCUCUCAUCACUUUGGGAUUCAUCUCUUUACUUUCCCCAGAGUGAGGGAGGCAGUAACGUUCCUCGUGAGUGCUUAGUCCUUGCUCCCAAGGCAAUAAACCCCCCAAAACCCCUCUCUUUCUGCAGUCUUCUUGUUGGCUUGAUAGUGGUAGGGCUGGUUCAGCCAAGGUCACAGUUGGAGGGCAGGAAGGGGGUACAGCGAAGGACGACGGGGGUGUCUUCUCUAGUCCUGUUUGCAGCAAUCUUUAGAAUGCAAAAUAAUUAAGAAGAAACUGCUGUUUUUUGGCUGUGGGAUGCAAUUCGAAUUCUGGAAAAUUAGAAUCAACAGAACGUGGGAUGUGGGAGUCCAGGACAACUCCCCUGUUUUGGCUGUGUUUGGUGCCAUGUGUGGAGGUGGGAGAGAUGGGAGAAAGAAGAGGUUUGGGCAGGGGGAGGGAAGAAUCAAGAUUCUGCUUUGAAUGGACGAAGGUUGUGGUUUGUUGAGAGGACAACUAGAUAACUGGCCACUUGAAGAUGGGAUGGAAGUCUGAAUCUGCAAGGAGUCACAGAUGAAUGGUAUGGAAAGCUGUGGUAGUGGAUGAGAUCAUACGAACGGUGGGUGCAGAUGGAAACGAGAAGCCAUCUAAGGACUCGUAAUGGGCUCCUCAACACUUGGAAGUUGGGUAGAGGAAGAAGACCGCAUGAGGGCAGGAUCCUGAAUGUUCCACUCACUGCUAUAUCCCUAGCACUGGUUACAGUGCUUGGCACACACUGCAUGCUCAAUAAAUUAUUUGUUGCCCAUAUAAGUGAACGUGAAUUCCAAUGGACUAGCAUCUUCCACUCUCAACAUAAACAAAAACAACAGCAACAUUGCAAUUCCCUAUCUUCUCUUCCCUGAUCUCUUUCUCAUUCUGUCUCUCCUUCCCUUUUCCUCUGCCUUCCUGUUGCCUUCUCUGAUAUGAGUUAAAUUUAUCAGGGGUGUCCAGGUACCCGGCUAUUCUUGAGCAUUCCUUAUCUGGCUA
RNAcentral lists this long non-coding RNA (3463 nucleotides) under Homo sapiens (human). Its description in RNAcentral is "HSALNT0199340". The record is from RNAcentral. Lineage: Eukaryota; Metazoa; Chordata; Mammalia; Primates; Hominidae.